GGUGCCGUAGUGUAGUGGUUAUCAUGCGACGUUGUGGUUUCAUCCCCACAGUCCCGUCUCGACCUGGGUUCGAUUCCCAGCGGCGCCA
Molecule: non-coding RNA, 88 nt
Organism: Aspergillus avenaceus
Lineage: Eukaryota; Fungi; Ascomycota; Eurotiomycetes; Eurotiales; Aspergillaceae
Source: the annotation of a GenBank genome assembly